UAUUAAUAGACUUGUUCUUUUCGUUCUUAUUACCCUAAUUAAUUUAAGUUCAGAAAGAAAAAUCCAGAUAAAGAGUUGUCCGCCUACAACCCCUGCAUGAAUAGCAAGCGUCACUGUACUCAUUGUCCUCUUCACCCUGUAGAUAGACAAGAUAUAACAGCCAGGACAAAUGAAAAGCCAGAAUUGAACGUCUUAAAACGACAAACUGCAUGCAGAAAUUACAGCGGUGAAAGCGACGUGCUUUUCAUCGGCGAUGGUGAAAUUCAGCAUCUCCGUCGUCGGCCGCCCGACCGUUUCUGAGACAAAGCAGGUCCAGACAAGACAGAUGGUUAAGAGAAGCCACGGGGCCAAUGUCAUAACGCGUGUCGCUUGGAGGGGGAUUCCGUAUAAGGGGACGUUACUUUUGCCUUGUUAUUAGAGCGGAGAGUGGAGAGACAUGCAAAUCAAAUGGAUAAUAAUAGUGCCGUGUGUUUAAUUA
Non-coding RNA from Jatropha curcas, 478 nucleotides. NCBI's taxonomy places the organism in Eukaryota, Viridiplantae, Streptophyta, Magnoliopsida, Malpighiales, Euphorbiaceae. The record is from RefSeq and is a predicted model, not a curated record.